CUGGCGGCGUGCCUAAUACAUGCAAGUCGAACGGUCUUUCUAUGGAAGCUUGCUUCCACUGAGAAGAUAGUGGCGAACGGGUGAGUAACACGUGGGUAACCUGCCCAUAAGAGGGGGAUAACAUCCGGAAACGGGUGCUAAUACCGCAUAGUUUUCUUGAUCGCAUGAUUGAGAAAGGAAAGACGGCCUUUGUGCUGUCGCUUAUGGAUGGACCCGCGGCGUAUUAGUUAGUUGGUGAGGUAACGGCUCACCAAGACGAUGAUACGUAGCCGACCUGAGAGGGUGAUCGGCCACAUUGGGACUGAGACACGGCCCAAACUCCUACGGGAGGCAGCAGUAGGGAAUCUUCCGCAAUGGACGAAAGUCUGACGGAGCAACGCCGCGUGAGUGAAGAAAGGUUUUCGGAUCGUAAAACUCUGUUGUCAGAGAAGAACAAGUUGGAGAGUAACUGCUCCAGCCUUGACGGUAUCUGACCAGAAAGCCACGGCUAACUACGUGCCAGCCGCAGC
This 509-nucleotide ribosomal RNA is filed under the name uncultured bacterium. Its description in RNAcentral is "bacterial SSU rRNA". It matches the Rfam family "Bacterial small subunit ribosomal RNA", at positions 36 to 518 of the family's 1533-position model. The record is from RNAcentral.